UCGAACGCCGAAGGGGAGCAAUCCCUGAGUAGAGUGGCAAACGGGUGAGUAACACGUGGGUGACCUGCCUUCGAGUGGGGGAUAACGUUCCGAAAGGAACGCUAAUACCGCAUGACAUCCUGCUUUUGGAAAAGCGGAGAUCAAAGCUGGGGAUUCGCAAGAACCUGGCGCUUGAAGAGGGGCCCGCGCCUGAUUAGCUAGUUGGUGAGGUAACGGCUCACCAAGGCUACGAUCAGUAUCCGGCCUGAGAGGGCGGACGGACACACUGGGACUGAGACACGGCCCAGACUCCUACGGGAGGCAGCAGUGGGGAAUUGUUCGCAAUGGGCGCAAGCCUGACGACGCAACGCCGCGUGGAGGAUGAAGAUCUUCGGGUCGUAAACUCCUGUCGAGUGGGAAGAAUUGCUUUAGGGUGAAUAUCCCUGGAGUUUGACGGUACCACUAAAGGAAGCCCCGGCUAACUCCGUGCCAGCAGCCGCGGUAAUACGGGGGGGGCAAGCGUUGUUCGGAAUUACUGGGCGUAAAGGGCUCGUAGGCGGCCAACUAAGUCGGAUGUGAAAUCCCCAGGCUCAACCUGGGAACUGCAUCCGAUACUGGAUGGCUUGAAUUCGGGAGAGGGAUGCAGAAUUCCAGGUGUAGCGGUGAAAUGCGUAGAUAUCUGGAGGAAUACCGGUGGCGAAGGCGGCAUCCUGGACCGACAUUGACGCUGAGGA
This 713-nucleotide ribosomal RNA is filed under the name uncultured bacterium. Its description in RNAcentral is "bacterial SSU rRNA". It matches the Rfam family "Bacterial small subunit ribosomal RNA", at positions 62 to 752 of the family's 1533-position model. The record is from RNAcentral.